This 303-nucleotide ribosomal RNA is filed under the name uncultured bacterium. Its description in RNAcentral is "partial 16S ribosomal RNA". It matches the Rfam family "Bacterial small subunit ribosomal RNA", at positions 507 to 807 of the family's 1533-position model. The record is from RNAcentral.
AGCAGUAGCCGCGGUAAUACGUAGGUGGCAAGCGUUGUCCGGAGUUAUUGGGCGUAAAGGGCUCGCAGGCGGUUUCUUAAGUCUGAUGUGAAAGCCCCCGGCUCAACCGGGGAGGGUCAUUGGAAACUGGGAAACUUGAGUGCAGAAGAGGAGAGUGGAAUUCCACGUGUAGCGGUGAAAUGCGUAGAGAUGUGGAGGAACACCAGUGGCGAAGGCGACUCUCUGGACUGCAACUGACGCUGAGGAGCGAAAGCGUGGGGAGCGAACAGGAUUAGAUACCCCAGUAGUCCCUGUCUCUUAUAC